Molecule: ribosomal RNA, 253 nt
Filed under: uncultured bacterium
Lineage: Bacteria
Description: partial 16S ribosomal RNA
Rfam family: Bacterial small subunit ribosomal RNA
Source: RNAcentral
UACAGAGGGUGCAAGCGUUAAUCGGAAUUACUGGGCGUAAAGCGUGCGUAGUCGGUUAUUUAAGUCAGGUGUGAAAUCCCCGGGCUCAACCUGGGAAUUGCAUUUGAGACUGGAUAGCUAGAGUUCGGCAGAGGGAAGUGGAAUUUCAGGUGUAGCGGUGAAAUGCGUAGAUAUCUGAAGGAACAUCAGUGGCGAAAGCGACUUCCUGGACCAGAACUGACGAUCAGGCACGAAAGCGUGGGGAGCAAACAGG